This 455-nucleotide ribosomal RNA is filed under the name uncultured bacterium. RNAcentral's name for it is "bacterial SSU rRNA". It matches the Rfam family "Bacterial small subunit ribosomal RNA", at positions 340 to 784 of the family's 1533-position model. The record is from RNAcentral.
UACGGGAGGCAGCAGUAGGGAAUCUUCCGCAAUGGACGAAAGUCUGACGGAGCAACGCCGCGUGAACGAUGAAGGCUUUCGGGUCGUAAAGUUCUGUUGUUAGGGAAGAACAAGUACCAGAGUAACUGCUGGUACCUUGACGGUACCUAACCAGAAAGCCACGGCUAACUACGUGCCAGCAGCCGCGGUAAUACGUAGGUGGCAAGCGUUGUCCGGAAUUAUUGGGCGUAAAGCGCGCGCAGGUGGUUCUUUAAGUCUGAUGUGAAAGCCCACGGCUCAACCGUGGAGGGUCAUUGGAAACUGGGGAACUUGAGUGCAGAAGAGGAAAGUGGAAUUCCACGUGUAGCGGUGAAAUGCGUAGAGAUGUGGAGGAACACCGAGUGGCGAAGGCGACUUUUCUGGUCUGUAACUGACACUGAGGCGCGAAAGCGUGGGGAGCGAACAGGGAUUAGAUA